RNAcentral lists this long non-coding RNA (1550 nucleotides) under Homo sapiens (human). Its description in RNAcentral is "HSALNT0283835". The record is from RNAcentral. Lineage: Eukaryota; Metazoa; Chordata; Mammalia; Primates; Hominidae.
AGAGAAUAUGGAUGUGCUAGGAUUGAAGGCACUUGUCAUCACCAAUCUAAUGGGCUCAACUGGGACAAGUGAUUGCAUUUUUCUUCUCAAAUGGUGGGCUACAUAACAAGAAUUUAGCAUUAGACAGGUAUGCCAGUGUUGCUGCUAGUGGAAAGUGCACCAAUAUACAUGCUACUCCAGGAUAAGGUUGGCAGAUAUGCUUUGGUCAAACACUGGCAUGCACAAGGGACGAACAAACAAACGUAGACAGCCGUCAUAUCUUGCCAUCAAGAACAAGAUUUAAGAAAAGACCUGUGGCCGUGGUCAUGUAUGAUGUAGCUCAAUCACCCCAGAAACAGAAGAUGUUAUUAAAAGUAUAAGCUGAUUCCAGUUUGGCUCUGGCAGAGUGAGGGCAGAAGAGAGGACAACAUGUUGGAGGGGAAGCCAGAGAGUUAACCAGAGAUUAAAUCCUGUUGGCUCUUACCGGACAAGGACUGGGCUUUUACUCUGAGUGAGAUCAGAAGCCAUUGCUGGGCUGGGACCGGAGGAGAUACACAGCUCACAAAACACAUCAAUACAGAGAAUUCAAACUUCUGAAAAACAUAUUGGAUGAAGAAAUGAAGUCCAAAUUAAAAUGAGGAAGUCCAGUCAGAUGACGAACUUGAACACAAAGAGCAAGCCAUUGAGCACUAGUUGGCCACAGAUGUGGAUUUAAGUUUUCUAGCUGCCAAAAUGUAAAGAGGGAAACACGAUCCUCUGCAGGACUCAACAGUAUCCCUGAGAUCGAAUCUGACAAACUGCUCAGAAGGGGCACCUAUGCUUUUCCCUGAGAUGAAUGUCUCCCAUCGUCAGAUGUCAGAUUCUGGAUCUAUUUUGACAAGAGAGCUCAAAGGAUUUCUUCACAGAUGGAAAUGAGGGGGCUGUGAACCCCUGAUAUCUGAGAGGUGUCUCAGUCAAUUUAGAAAGUUUAUUUUGCCAACGUUAAGGACGCGCCCAUGACAGCCUGAGGAGGUCCUGACGACACGUGCCCAAGGUGGUCAGGGCACAGCCUGCUUCCAUACAUUUUAGGGAGACAUGAAACAUCAAUAUGUAAGAUGUAUACUGGUUCGGUCUCUAAAGGUGGGACAACUUGAAUUGGUGAGGUGACUAGGAAGGUCAUAGGUAGAUAAAGACACACUGGUUGCAUUCGAGUUUCUGAUUAGCUUUCCAUAUUUUUUAAAUUGAAAAAUACCCAGUUAAUGUCAUAACUUAUCUUACUAUAACUUCAGAAUCUAAAUUAUAACAAGUUUUGUCUAAAAGCAUUUAUCUCAUUACAUUUACCUACUUUUUCUAAUAGUUUACCUAGAUUAUUUAUGAAACUGCGAUAGUCAUUUUAUUUCCUUUUCAACCAUUUUAUAGCCUGUGAAUUUCAGGUGUUUACCUAAGUAAAAGCCUUAAGAUUAAAUAUAUGGUUAUUUUACUGAAUAAUUGGAUAUUUAGCGAUUUUCAUUAAUCCAAUAUUAAUUUUUUUAUCAAAAAUUAUACAAGCAAAAAUUCUGUUUUUGCCGGAUUUAUAGUUUUGUAACCCGCAU